AUUCUACGACGUGCGCACGCAUGAGCAUGCAUGGUCGUUAGGCGCACUUGAAGCCCGUGGGGACGCCCUUGCCGCAGAAGUUGAGGACGAGGCUGAGGUUGACGGGGAUGUUGAGGUUCAGCCCCAGCACGUUGGCCUUGAUGGCGGUGCACAGGCACACGGCGGCGUCCAGCUCCACCAGCCCGUUCAGCAGCGGGCAGCACUUCUCGUCGACGGGGACGCCGGCCUUCGCCUUGAUCAGGUCCAGGACGUUGGCGCACACGCCCAGCUUCAGCGCGUUCGUCGGGCAGUGGCCGUACCACCCGCUCGUGCCGUCGUUGCCGCUGCCGCCGCCGCCGCUGCCUCCACCACCGAUGGGGCCGUACCCACCACCGCUGCCGCCGCCGAUGGGUACGAUGCCGCCGCCGAUGCCGCCUCCGAUGGGUCCGAUCCCACCGCUGCCACCGCCAAUCGGCCCUACCCCGCCGCCGUUGCCGCCGCCGCCGAUCGGGCCGUACCCACCGCCGUUGCCGCCGCUGCCACCACCGCCAUUGUUGCCUCCCCAGCCGCCGCCGCUGCUGCCGCUACCCGGCCCGCUGCCACCCCCGUAGCCGCCGCUGCCCCCGCCGCCAUGAUGGCCCCCGCUGCCACCGUGACCAUUGUUGCCCCCGCCGCAGUAAGGGCAGGCGUUGGUUACCACGAAGAGCACGAGGUUGAGGGCAAGGAAGAGGGCCGCCUUGGACGCCAUUGGUGACCCCAAGCAGCUAAGCCAAUACGCGGCGGCGGCUGCAAGUGUGUGAGUC
RNAcentral lists this long non-coding RNA (782 nucleotides) under Setaria viridis. Its description in RNAcentral is "long non-coding RNA (SVIR_LNC011117)". The record is from RNAcentral. Lineage: Eukaryota; Viridiplantae; Streptophyta; Magnoliopsida; Poales; Poaceae.